ACAGCAGUAGCCGCGGGAAUACGGAGGGUGCAAGCGUUAAUCGGAAUUACUGGGCGUAAAGCGCACGCAGGCGGUCUGACAAGUCAGAUGUGAAAUCCCCGGGCUUAACCUGGGAACUGCAUUUGAAACUGUCAGGCUGGAGUCUUGUAGAGGGGGGUGGAAUUCCAGGUGUAGCGGCGAAAUGCGUAGAGAUCUGGAGGAAUACCGGUGGCGAAGGCGGCCCCCUGGACAAAGACUGACGCUCAGGUGCGAAAGCGUGGGGAGCAAACAGGAUUAGAUACCCCUGUAGUCCCUGUCUCUUAUAC
Molecule: ribosomal RNA, 305 nt
Filed under: uncultured bacterium
Lineage: Bacteria
Description: partial 16S ribosomal RNA
Rfam family: Bacterial small subunit ribosomal RNA
Source: RNAcentral